This 401-nucleotide ribosomal RNA is filed under the name uncultured bacterium. RNAcentral's name for it is "bacterial SSU rRNA". It matches the Rfam family "Bacterial small subunit ribosomal RNA", at positions 917 to 1322 of the family's 1533-position model. The record is from RNAcentral.
GGGCCCGCACAAGCGGUGGAGCAUGUGGUUUAAUUCGAUGCAACGCGAAGAACCUUACCAGGGCUUGACAUACUACAAAUUCUUUUGAGAAAAAGAAGUGCCUUCGGGAAUGUAGAUACAGGUGGUGCAUGGCUGUCGUCAGCUCGUGUCGUGAGAUGUUGGGUUAAGUCCCGCAACGAGCGCAACCCUUAUUUUUAGUUACUAAUUCGUUAGGUUCUCUAGAAAGACUGCCGGUGACAAACCGGAGGAAGGUGAGGAUGACGUCAAGUCAGCAUGCCCCUUAUGUCCUGGGCUACACACGUGCUACAAUGGUUAAGACAAAGAGUCGCGAGCUCGCGAGAGUCAGCUAAUCUCAUAAACUUAGCCUAAGUUCAGAUUGUAGGCUGCAACUCGCCUGCAUG